Molecule: RNA transcript, 3162 nt
Organism: Zalophus californianus (California sea lion)
Lineage: Eukaryota; Metazoa; Chordata; Mammalia; Carnivora; Otariidae
Gene: PLEKHH3
Gene name: pleckstrin homology, MyTH4 and FERM domain containing H3
Exons: 13
Source: RefSeq, a predicted model, not a curated record
GGGAGGAGAGAAAGAAGAGGGAAAGGGGGGGGCCCUCAGAGGGGAGGGGGUUGGGGAGGCGGGGUCCCGGCGCUGUGCUCGCGCCCCUAGCGCGCCAGUCCCGGGGCUGCAGGGAGCGCAGCGCGCGCGGCCCGGGCCCCGGCCACCGGACGCCCUACCGGACACGACCCUCCCUGGAGCUUGGACAACUGCCCACCUCGGACAUUGCACCGGACACUGCCCCCCACAGGGCUGGACACUACAACGGACACUACUUCCCAGCUCCGGACAUUGCUGCCCGCCCCCCCCCCCCAGCCCUGGACGCUUUCCCCCUCCCCCUCCGGGGGCCCGGACCCCGAGCCCCCCGCAGGCUCUAGCAAGCGACCCCUUGCACCCUAGCGCCAGACACUGCCUCCUCCUUGUCCCCCUCUCCCUUCCCCUCCUCCCGCCGCAUCUUUCCCCCGCUGGGGUCGGAGCCCCGCCAGUUUCUCCGACCCCCUGCAGCUCGGCCGGGCUGCCCGCGCCCCCAUCCCCCGGCUGCUCGCCCGGAUGCCUCUCCCCGGGGGAUUGUGGUGGCUCCUCUGCUGCCGUCGAGGCUUUACUCUUCUGCACCGGGACUACGGGGACGGCGAGCUUAGCGGGGACGGGGACGAGGACGAGGACGAGGAGACCUUUGAGCUGCGGACCCCGAGUCCAGCGGGCGGCGGGAGGGGCCCCUUGGACGUGACGCUGACUCAGCCGGUGAGGAGCGGGCCGGUCUCAGACAGGCUGCAGAGCUGGGAGGAGACACGGAGCCUCAUCCCGGAGAAGGGGCCGCCCGAGGAGGACCCGGACGUCGUCGUGAAAGGUUGGCUGUACAGAGAGCCCCGCGGAGGAGGGGCUCGGCCCUGGUUGCCCCCGCGCCGGGCCUGGUUCGUGCUCACCCGGGACUCCCUGGACCAGUUCAGUAGCGGCGGGAAGGGGGCGCGGCGCCUCGGGAGCCUCGUGCUCACCAGCUUGUGCUCGGUGACUGGCCCCGAGCGCCGUCCCAAGGAGACCGGUCUGUGGUCAGUGACCGUGUCAGGCCGGAAGCACAGCGUCCGGCUCUGCUCCCCGCGCCAGGCCGAGGCUGAGCGCUGGGGGGUGGCCCUGCGAGAAGUGAUCGCCUCCAAGGCGCCGUUGGAGACCCCUACCCAGCUGCUGCUUCGGGACAUUCAGGAGAGUUGUGGGGACCCGGAGGCCGUGGCCCUUAUUUACCGCCGGAACCCAAUUCUGAGGCACACCAGUGGGGCCUUGUAUGCUCCACUCCUGCCCCUGCCCUACGGUGUCAGCGCCCCAGGUCCGGGCUACGCACCCUUGCGCGAGGAGGCGGUGCGGCUGUUCCUGGCGCUGCAGGCGCUAGAGGGGGCGCGGCGCCCCGGGCCCCUGAUGCAGGGUGUGCUCCAAACCUGCCGGGACCUGCCCGCGCUCCGCGACGAGCUCUUCCUGCAGCUGGCUAAGCAGACCUCGGGCCCCGCAGGGCCCCCCGGGCCCCCAGCUACCCAAGACCCCGCGGCCCUUCGGUACUGGCAGCUCCUCACCUGCAUGAGCUGCACCUUCCGGCCCGGGGGAGCUGUGCGGGGGCACCUCCUGGGGCAUCUGGAGAGGACGGAGCAGGCCCUCCCGGACACAGAACUGGCGGAAUACGCGCGCUUCAUCAGGAAAGCGCUGGGCCGGACGCGCGGCCGAGAGCUGGUGCCUUCGCUGGCAGAGAUUUCAGCGCUGAGCCAACGGCAGGAGCUCUUAUGCACCGUGCACUGUCCGGGGGCUGGUGCCUGCCCUGUGGCCAUAGACUCCCACACCACGGCGGGCGAGGUUGCUCGAGAGCUGGUGGGGCGGCUGGGCUUGGCCCGAAGCCGCAACGCAUUCGCACUGUACGAGCAGCGAGGAGCCCAGGAGCGAGCCCUGGCUGGGGGUACUCUCAUGGCCGACGUGCUCACCAGGUUUGAGAACGGUGGCCAGCGCCUUGGAGGGGGUCCCGCUUCUGCCUGGCAUCCAGUCCUCAUCUCUUCUGCAGUUUGGCGGCGGAGGAAGCCGCGCUGGACGACUCGCCGGACUCUGGUUGGGGACUAUGUCUGCGUCUUCACGGGCCCCUGCACCCUGAGGGGCUGUCUCCAGACGGUCACGAACUACCUUUCCUCUUUGAGCAGGCUCACGCUCUGCUGCUGCGCGGCCGGCCGCCCCCGCCCGACGACACGCUGCGCGCCCUGGCGGCGCUGCGUCUGCAGAGCCUGCACCGAGACUUCUCCCCGAGGGCGCCCCUGCCGCGCCUGGACCGCCUGCUGCCGCCCUCCGCCCCGCCGCGGGAGGACCUUCCCCGCCCCGUCCCCAGGCCUCCGCCCUCCGCCGCCCUGCUGGCCGGGGCGAUCUGGAGCCCCGGCCUGGCCAAGAGGCGCGCGGAGCGGACCCGGCGCGGCGGCGGCGGGGCCGGCGGCACGGCGGGAAGCGCGGCCAGCGAGGGAGGAGGUGGCGCCGGCAGGGCGGCUGCUGUGCUGGGCGGCUGGAAGCGGCUACGGGGCAUGGGCCGAGCUGAGGCCAUGGCUGCCUACCUGGCUCUGGCGGCGCAGUGUCCAGGGUUCGGCGCUGCUCGGUAUGACGUUCUGGAGCUGAGCACGGAGCCUGGUGGGGGCACUCCACAGAAGCUAUGCCUGGGCUUGGGGGCCAAGGCCAUGUCCCUCUCCCGGCCGGGUGAGACAGAGCCCGUCCACAGUGUCAGCUAUGGCCAUGUGGCCGCCUGCCAGCUAAUGGGCCCCCACACCCUGGCACUGAGGGUGGGAGAGAGCCAGCUCCUCCUGCAGAGCCCCCAGGUGGAAGAGAUCAUGCAGCUGGUGAAUGCCUACUUGCCCAAUCCCUCCCCCGAGAGGCCUUGCAGCAGCCCUUCUCCUCCAUGCCAAGACCUGCCAGACACCUCCCCUCCCAGCCAGCACCCGGGCCUGGACGAGCCCCAGGGACAGUCUGGCUGUUUGGGGCAGCUGCAGGACUGAGCCUGCCAAGAGGUCACGACCUCCCUUCUGCCUCCAGCCUGGACCUGGACUGCUCUGAGAUUUGAGGGAACCAUGGACCCUUUUGGCCCUGCAGGGACAGGGCGCACCUCACACCCACGGGCUGCAAUGGGUGCAGACAAUUUUCUAGUUUGUUUCUUAAUUUAUUUGUAGAAGAGAAGCA